Molecule: long non-coding RNA, 652 nt
Organism: Bombina bombina (fire-bellied toad)
Lineage: Eukaryota; Metazoa; Chordata; Amphibia; Anura; Bombinatoridae
Exons: 2
Source: RefSeq, a predicted model, not a curated record
CCGAAAUUUUUAAAUUUUUGUAAGUCUGCUAUUUAGGCAAGCAGGCUGGUAAUUAUGUAAAGAAAAGACAAAGUACUGUAUUUCUCUACUCCAGAAGCAAUAUAUUUACCUUGCAGAUCGUUGUCCGGUUGCUAGUCACUUCCUGCACGAAGAAGGAAGGAAAGAUGUAUAUUAUUUGAAGAAUCUUAAGCCAUCUUUGUUUCAGUUCAGUUUCCAUCUGAACGGAACCCUUUCCUUAUGUCCGGAUUUCUACCAUCUGUUUAAGAGGAUUUCCACCUUUCUAAUACUUCUAGACGAAGUUCAUCUUCUGCAAUCAAUUUCUUCUCAACCAAGUUUUUCUCCAAUCAAACCUACAGUUUUUACAUAUAUUUUUUGAUAUGUUGUUUAGGACUUUUUGGUUUCUUCAUGGUUCUAAAAAUUUUUCCCUUUGUGAGCAUCAGUCAAGAAAGAGGAGGUUUGGCUGCUUAUUGGACAGUUUAUGGACACUAUUCCUUCUCUGAUUGGUCCCUUUUUUCUUGGAAUUAUAAGUUAGCUCUCUCAUUAGCUACUUAUUGUGGUUCUUUAAUUUCUAUGCUGUUUUAAUAUCUUAUGUUAAUGUUAUUCUUAUACUUUUAAAUGCUGCAUUGGAGUAGUAAAGAAAGAGAAUGCAAAA